This 328-nucleotide ribosomal RNA is filed under the name uncultured bacterium. RNAcentral's name for it is "bacterial SSU rRNA". It matches the Rfam family "Bacterial small subunit ribosomal RNA", at positions 568 to 898 of the family's 1533-position model. The record is from RNAcentral.
CGCGUAGGUGGUAGUGUAAGUCUGGGGUGGAAUGCCGGGGCUUAACCCUGGAAUUGCCUUGGAAACUGCAUUACUUGAGUCAGUGAGGGGAGGGUAGAAUUCCUGGUGUAGCGGUGAAAUGCGUAGAUAUCAGGAGGAAGGCCUGUGGCGAAGGCGGCCCUCUGGUGCUGGACUGACACUGAGGCGCGAAAGCGUGGGAGCAAACAGGAUUAGAUACCCUGGUAGUCCACGCCCUAAACGGUGGGCACUAGGUGUAGGGCUCGUAAGGGUUCUGUGCCGAAGGGAACCAUUAAGUGCCCCGCCUGGGGAGUACGGCCGCAAGGUUGAA